CUAUUUCAACAUGAGUUCAAACAGGCCAUCUUUAUUUAGUGUCAUUGUCUAAAUAUGCUUGUUUAGCUCAAAAAGAGGGAAACCUCUGUUUGCCCUGUGGCUGUGGAGAUGGUCCAGUCACUAGGAAGUGACCAAGUAACCAACACUCACUUUGUCCUGUUCAGUCUUUCUGAAUGGCAACAGGCUGCACAGUAACAAUAAAUUGACAAUUUACAGUCAAGACAGUGAAUCUCCACUUCAGAAACAUGCAUGUUAUCACACACCUUUGCCCAACUGGAGGCCUGUCUACUCAUGCAUCAGACUCUCCAUGCUUAUGAUAACCCUGACCAAAUACACUGCAGACCUACAAAGACACUGCAGCAGGUAAUGCCAGGCUGAAACAUCAGUGCUCAGACUGUCACCAACAGAAAACAACCACAGAAGAAAAGGCUGCACUCGACUGGCCAAUCACCAUCAGUACUUCCUUUAAUGGAAAAGUCUGUGAAGUUCAUGACAUCUGUGAGUAACACCUUUUGACACUUGGCCAUCAUCACACAUGGACGGGCUGCACAUUUGUCUGCUGGUUCUCUUGGGAGUUGUUUGUUGCAGCGAUGGUCAGAUUUCUGGAUCAGUGUUGGAGGUGACAGUCAGAGCAGGAGACAACAUCACUCUUCACUGUGACUGCAAACUUUCAACUGGAGUAUACAUAGUGUGGUACAGGAACUGCUCCCAUGAGAACCAGCCUGCUCUUGUCCUUAGAACCAAAUUAGGUUCAUGGAAGGGCCCACUCAUUUACACUAGUGAUCCUUUGAGGAUUUUCCCUCGUUUUAGAUUUGUGAGAAACUUUUCUUCUGAAUCCUAUGACCUGCUGAUCGAGAACAUCACUGAUGUGGAUGAGGGCCUCUACUACUGUGGAACCGAAGAGCCAAAAAUUGGGUAUAAUGAAUACCUUAUUCCGAAAAAUGAUUACAGAUAUGGCAACGUCACAACAAGGAUCAUAUUCAAUUCCAGCUCACAGCCUGACUCCAGUCAGUGCAUCUCUGUGCAUGUCGGGUCCUGGACGAUGGCGUCCAUUCCAGCCUUCACCAUUCUCUUCUCCUUCCUCUCCUUUAUUUUGGUUUAUUGCUUGGGUCAGAAAACAGAUAAGGAACCUGAAAUCCUCCUGAAAAGACCUGACACCAGGGGACAAACAAGAUGGAUUCAGGAUGAAGAGUUAUGUUUAACACGAGUUGUGUUCCGGGCUAAGGAUGGACAAACACACCAACAGGUGGAGGACGGAGCGCACAAAGUAGAAACCAAAUAGAAAGAAAUGAGUCCACAUUCGAAAGGUUCAAAUUCAGAAUCAGAUAAGAAUCAGAUCAUGAUUUCAGCUAAAUGUUCAUAAAAAAAUCUUGUGUCUGAAGUCACUGCUGACUUUUUCUGCAUUAAAACAGACCAUGAUCUUUCCAUAACCUUAACCAUGUGCUGUCAGUGUGAUGAGUUUCUGCUUUAGCGAUCAGCCACUUUCCAUCUGUGGUCUCCGGGCAAUGAUCUGCAUUAUUCAUAAUAUAAUGAUUUAGUAAGUUAACUCAUUUGAUUAUGGUUUAGACUUCAGAGCAAUACAGAGCGUACAAGGAAGUUUAGCUGAGCCACACAUCAGUAAAGCUCUACAGGAAACCCACAGUGACAAACAGCCCCUCGCACGCCUGCAGAGCCCAACAUGCAGACGGACCGACGCUGCAGUUUAGUGGCCUGCUGAAAGUGUUGGUGCACGGCUUCACUGUGACGUUGUGGACACAGAUCAUACUUUAAAAAAACAAAAAACAAAAAGAAAAACAAAAAUUUGUUGCAAAUUGCUUUUAGGGUGCAAAUCUCCACUGACUGUCUGAUAACAGUGGUCGGCAGCUGGACACUCUCCUGACCUCUAGUGGACAUGACCAGUAAAGACCAAACCAAAUUGUUGUUAAAACAUGAUUGUUUAGCUCAAAACGAGGAAACCAGUGUUUGCCCUGUGGCUGUGGAGAUGGUCCAGUCACUAGGAAGUGUCCCAGUGAGUCAAACUGUGGCCACAGACUGACUUGGAGACCAGAAAGGUAAAGUAGGUACAGCUACAUAAAUUAUAGUGUAUUUCACGCUACAAUUACAUGAAAUUAAUAAAUAGCACAAAUACACACAAAAAAACACAUAAACCUAUUCAAAUAUGAUGAUGACUCUGAAGAUACUGCCCAUGUGAUUGUCGCUGUUAACCAACACUCACUUUGUCCUGUUCAGUCUUUCUGAAUGGCAACAGGCUGCACAGUAACAAUAAAUUGACAAUUUACAGUCAAGACAGUGAAUCUCCACUUCAGAAACAUGCAUGUUAUCACACACCUUUGCCCAACUGGAGGCCUGUCUAGUCAUGCAUCAGACUCUCCAUGCUUAUGAUAACCCUGACCAAAUACACUGCAGACCUACAAAGACACUGCAGCAGGUAAUGCCAGGCUGAAACAUCAGUGCUCAGACUGUCACCAACAGAAAACAACCACAGAAGAAAAGGCUGCACUCGACUGGCCAAUCACCAUCAGUACUUCCUUUAAUGGCAAAGUCUGUGCAGUUCAUGACAUCUGUGAGUAACACCUGUUUCACUACCUUUUGACACUUGGCCAUCAUCGCACAUGGACGGGCUGCACAUUUGUCUGCUGGUUCUCUUGGGAGUUGUUUGUUGCAGCGAUGGUCAGAUUUCUGGAUCAGUGUUGGAGGUGACAGUCAGAGCAGGAGACAACAUCACUCUUCACUGUGACUGCAAACUUUCAACUGGAGUAUACAUACUGUGGUACAGGAACUGCUCCCAUGAGAACCAGCCUGCUCUUGUCUUUAGAACCAAACUUGGUUCGGGGAAGGGCACUAAUGAUCCUUUCAGGAUUUUCCCUCGAUUUAAAUUUGUGAGAAACUUUUCUUCUGAAUCCUACGACCUGCUGAUCGAGAACAUCACUGAUGUGGAUGAGGGCCUCUACUACUGUGGAACUGAACAUCGAAAAGUUGAGGAUCAGAACUGUAUUACUAUCAGACAUGAUUACAGAUAUGGCAACGUCACAACAAGGAUCAUAUUCAAUUCCAGCUCACAGCCUGACUCCAGUCAGUGCAUCUCUGUGCAUGUCGGGUCCUGGACGAUGGCGUCCAUUCCAGCCUUCACCAUUCUCUUCUCCUUCCUCUCCUUUAUUUUGGUUUAUUGCUUGUGUCAGAAAACAGAUAAGGAAGCUGAAAUCCUCCUGAAAAGACCUGACACCAGGGGACAAACAAGAUGGAUUCAGGAUGAAGAGUUAUGUUUAACACAAGUUGUGUUCCGGGCUAAGGAUGGACAAACACACCAACAGGCGGAGGACGGAGCGCACAAAGUAGAAACCAAGUAGAAAGAAAUGAGUCCACAUUCGAAAGGUUCAAAUUCAGAAUCAGAUCAUGAUUUCAGCUAAAUGUUCAUAAAAAAAUCUUGUGUCUGAAGUCACUGCUGACUUUCUCUGCAUUAAAACAGACCAUGAUCUUUCCAUAACCUUAACCAUGUGCUGUCAGUGUGAUGAGUUUCUGCUUUAGUGACCAGCCACUUUUCAUCUGUGGUCUCCGGGCAAUGAUCUGCAUUAUUCAUAAUAUAAUGAUGUAGUAAGUUAACUCAUUUGAUUAUGGUUUCGACUUCAGAGCAAUACAGAGCGUACAAGGAAGUUUAGCUGAGCCACACAUCAGUAAAGCUCUACAGGAAACCCACAGUGACAAACAGCCCCUCGCACGCUUGCAGAGCCCAACAUGCAGACAGACCAACGCUGCAGUUUAGUGGCCUGCUGAAAGUGUUGGUGCACGGCUUCACUGUGACGUUGAGGGACACAGAUCAUACUUAAAAAAAACAAACAAACAUGAAAAACAGAGGAGUUUCAUCCUACGAUCAUAUCAUUUUAGUGGAAAAUUUGUUGCAAAUUGCUUUCAUUGUGCAAAUCUCUAAUAACAGUGUUCGGAGGUCACUCUCCUGACCUCUAGUGGCCAUGACAAGUAAAAACUAAACCAAAAAGGCUCCCAGAGGAGCUUUGGCGUCGAGCUACCUGCAGCAGUCCAAACUACAGUAUAUUGUCUUAUAUUAAUUCUUAUUCUGGCUGUUUGAGCUUUAUAUAAUAAAUUAGAGUUACCUUUUGCUGUUUGUGACCAACACACCAGACACUGAGGGAAAAUCCAAAUUGCUGGAGGUAAAAAAUGACUUCUGUCUAUAUGUAUUCACACAACACCAGUGAUGUAAGUGAAGCAUCAUGUGGCACAAAAAUAACAUUUUUUUAUUGCUGGCUCAACAAAGAGAAACCAGAAAGACUCUGAGUUCAGUCUGAACAGAAAAGAGCAAAGCAAGACUUCAUCAUAAUUCAACUGUAUGUGAUGACUGCGAAUGUGGCCUUCAGUGAUUCCAAACUUAUCAUCGGGCCUCAAUGUAUCGUCAAACGAUACUUGCUGACUUUCAUGUGAUAUUCAACAGAUUUCCUCAAGUUUGAACUCAAUUCAAUAAAAAAAACAAAAUUCUGUGAAAUUAUUUUGAAGCGAUUUAUUUAAAGCAGGUGGUUUUACAUUUAACAUGCCAGACUGGUGGUAAACAUGAAGUGUGAAUAACAGCGCUAAAUUUUGACCAAGGUGGGGGAUGAGGAAAAAAAUGACUCACGGAUACGUUUACAGACAUGGCAACAUAACAACAUGGAUUCUGUUCAUUCAGGAUGUCUGGUCUGUCUAUUCCUGCUGCGUUAGUUAUUAAUGCUGUAAACUCGGCUAACUGAUAACCACACAGAUGAACAAUGUGGGCUUUGGAGUUGUGUGAAACAGCACCAAACAAUUACAAAUCUCUUUCAGUAGUGCAGUAGUAGGGGUUGUGUUUAAUGAUAUCAAAUGUCAAACUGUCUUUCAGGAUGACAAUGCAUUUAUACCAGAGUAGUGUUCUGAGCUCACAAUGGACAGAUUUGCUUUAUAUAAGAGAGACAGAGACCACAAAUCAAUAACUGGCUCCAAUUCAAAAACUUUAAAUUCAAGUCAACAGUUAAACAUGACCCAUUUAUUGUAUCUUGUCGUUCUAUUAAUUAAUAUUAUGUUUUGCCGGUAUGUUGCUUACAUGUAGUAUUUCCAGUGUUAUUGAAACUUUAACAACUGCUAUGACUAUUUUAAAUACUAUCUGUGGUAUUUGAAAGAUGUCUUGCCUUAGACAGGCUAGGCUCUAAUUGGCUCUUUUUAAAUGCUACCACCAGUAAGUUUGCUAAAUGCUGAGCAUGAACAUUCUACUCAACUGAAACUCAACAGAUGGGACCCAUAGGAGAUGGGAGAGGAAAGCUGGAAAAGUGGCUGCUGGGAUUUAUUUUGGGAUAUAGCUUGUUUGAGUAAUGACAUUGUGAUAAAUAAGCCUCCCUUUCUAGUGCUGGAAAACCUUAAAAAGAAUAUCUAUGCCUUCUAAGAAUUCUCAGGCUUUCUGUCACUUGGCUAACUGUGGAGAGUGUUUUAUGUUAACUUUAAUGUAUUGUAUUGUGCAGUAACCCUUUUUGUGCUUUACUUUUUUGUGUGGGCUAUGAAUUACAAACAAAUAAACAUAUAUCCUACAAGGCAC
Chelmon rostratus (copperband butterflyfish) is the source of this 5548-nucleotide RNA transcript. RefSeq lists it as uncharacterized. The transcript is spliced from 9 exons. NCBI's taxonomy places the organism in Eukaryota, Metazoa, Chordata, Actinopteri, Chaetodontiformes, Chaetodontidae. The record is from RefSeq and is a predicted model, not a curated record.